GAUCCCCUCCCCUAGCCCCCAAGCCAAAAGGAUUUGUGAAUAAUGUAGCCUUCCCAUGUGCUAAGGAAAAAGGAGCAUUUGGUGAGCACAUAGUGUUUUGUCUUCCAGAGUCAGUCCUUCCAGUAUGAAGUAUCUGUUGCACUGUUUCUUCUAAAUAUAGAAAACAUUAAUGACCUCUCCAAUGAUGCAGAUAACCCAAAGUUAAUCCAGUCACUUCCUCCAGUUCAAAGUCUUGAAUCUCCAGGUGAUGCACUAUCUAUUCCACUGGGCCAGAAUCUAUAAAUUGAAAAAAGUGUUUAUAUGGCUCCCAUCUUUCAAAACCCAACAAUGACAUAAUAACAUUCUCAAAUGAAAAGGUGAAGAAUGGCCUCCACAGAAUAGACUCUGGAAUAAAUAAAUACUGAAACCUGCUUAGUGAACAUUAUGAAGGCCAUCUCUCCUUAAUGAGGUCUUAAUUCCAUUCUCUGGGAGGAAUCUCCUGAACUAUCUUCUCCAUAGAGAUUCCCUGGCUCUGCCCUCUGAGAGGUUGUUUCUUGUUUAUUGUCUUCCUUAUAGACAUCUGAAGUAAGUGUUAGGGAGCAUGUUCUUCUUGAGGACUACUAGGUUUGCCACCUGUGUAGCCUGAUGAUUGUCAUUUACUUUCCCCCCCAAAUCCUCCAUUGUUUUAGACCAGGCUCAUGUUUUACUUUUUUGUCGGUAGAAUUCUUUCACACAUUUUGUGUCUUUUGACCUAUUUGGUUUUUGUCACUUCCAUGUGCCAGUAUUCACACCUAAAGAUCUUCCUUAGAUAUGUUACUGAUGAGUCUGUGUUGUAUGAAUGGAGUUCCCAGUUCUUGGAUUCCCCAGAAAAAGAUUUAUGUGAGGAUCUACAUUUGAAUAAGGACAGCCAGAAGGAAAGUAGCAGGUGCCAAGCCGUUUAUUAAAGGGCAAGUGCAGUUGCAAGGUGGGAGGGCAGGCAGGUUCUCCAACAUGGGACCAGCUCCUAGGUUGUUUGGGGAUCGGAUAUUAUUGGGUCUCUCUGGGCUGGAAGGAGAGCUGUGACUUACAGUGGGGUGGUCUCCAAUAGAGGCCCCUUCCAAUCCUUUGGGGAACUCCUCCCACAAAUUGGGAGGGGGAAUUUUUGACUAUACAGGGUUUGUACCUGAAUGUCAUGGCCUUUCUCCAAGGUGGGGAGGGCUAUACCCACAAUGUAAAUGCAUUAGAAUGAGUCUAGAUGUUAUCCUGGAGUAGAGGUAGAAGCGGAGAGCACAUGCUCUGCACCUCUGGCUCUUGGUCUGUCAGCCCUAAGGUCUUGGAAGCCCCAAGAUCAGGAUAAUACGCCCUGGUGGCUUCUAAGGUGUAACCUAUUUGUCACCAUCCUUGCCUCCAACUCCUUCCUGUGUCUACGAUUCCCCCAUUCAAGGACUUGGGACUCUGCCUCAGGGCGUUCCUUCCACUGCACAUAUCUAGCUUCCGCCUAACAGAUAUAGCUCACAAAUCUGUUUAAUUUUCUUUCUUCUUCAUCUUCAAGCCUCUGACUCUGCUAAUGCCAGCUCUUUUGAGGCUAUCAGGCUUCUUAGGAAGGUUGGAUUACAAAUCUGAAUUUGGGCAUAAGACUGAGUCACUCUGUUCAAGAACUUUAUGAAUUCCACCUCUUACUAGUUGGAGUCUGGAAGCAUAUAGCAAGGCCCCACCUUUCUAAAUGUUCAUUCUCUUUUAUUUUUGCUUGCAAACUUAGCUACUUUUUCUUAGUCCAUCUCUUUAUUAGAACUAUCACCAAACACAGCAGAAACAACUGGCACAUACUAUUAGUAGUUUUGUUUUCUAACCUCUUUCCCUAGAAUAAGUUCAGCUGGCACAGAGUGUAGGCGACAAUUUACGAAAUGUGUUCCAUAGAUAAUAUGGAUCUCUAGCACUCAGGCUGUGAUACGUGUUUCGUCAUCAUCUACCAUCUGGCCACUAAACCAAUUCUAUACAUUUUAUGCUUCUGUUAUGGCAAUACCCCACUUCAAGUUUUUAGUUUCUGUAUUAUUUAGAGGAAGAUCUCUGCUCUGAAAUAAGCAACUUUGAAUUCAGUAGCUUAUUAAUAAGUACUUAUGUCACAGUCAGUUCAAGGUACUCCACUUGGUCAGUUAGGGACCUAGGCUCCUUCUGUCUUCAAUGUAAACCUCCGAAAGACUGCAGGGGAGAAUAGGGAGAAUGCAGGAUCAUGUAAGGUGUUUAUGGUUGUGUUUGAAAGUGGUAUACAUCAAUUCUACCCAAAAUCCAUCAACCAGAACUAAGAGAUAUAAACCCAUCCUAAGAACAAGGCAGUUUCAGUAUUAUAUCUUCCUGUAUUGCCAAGAAAAUGAAGCGGUUUGGGAAACACAUAACAUUACUUCAAAUUUAGGCUUCCAUCUAAUCUUUUUUCUCUUUAGCUCAGUAGUCAAAGGUGGUUCCAAGUCAGGGGAUAGGAGCUGGGAAAGGGUCAUGAUCCGUUCCUUCAGCUAUUCAGGGACCAGGCUGCCGGCAGGUUUAUCAGCUUCCAGGUCGCUCUGAGCUUUAUAUCCAGCCAAUAGAUUGAAAUGGAAAUGAGGAGAAGGCAUACCUGUUUUUCAAAUAUCUAGGCCAAGAAGUAAUACACAUUGCUUCCAUCCAUUUUCUAUCAUUUAGAACUGGCCCAUUUAGAUAAAGGAGGGGUCUGGAAAUGAAGUUCUGGGAUGACAAUCUGUUUUUUUUAGCAAUGAUGCUAUGCUAGAAAUUGAAGAAGGAGAAUUUGGAAGAUAGACUGUCAUGAAGGGCCAAAGUGCCUGUAAGUAAGAGAAGUUUCAAGACAGGAGAACAAAGUAAGGCCAAAGACUUACUCACUUUAUAUUUUUGUUUAGAAUUUGUCUUAUGUGAUUGAUUCUUACAAAGGUAAUAUAUUUGAAUCAUUAUUUUAAAUAUGUGAUUGCCUGAGUUUAUGACACAUUAUUAUCUUAAAAGAUUUGUUUAAUUCACUAAUUUUUUUUUUAUCUCACUGCCUCAUUUUUGGGUGAAUGGGGGUCUUGCCUUAUCAGUUAGUCAUGGGAGUGACUUUCCCUUUUGGUUAUUUGGGUGUAAGUGUGCAUGGCUAUAGUGUGACCAUUCUAGGCCACACAAUGAAUCAUUUUUUUUCCUUUGCACUUCUGUUUUUAAAAAUGCACUUUUGUUUUAAAAAUCAGGGGCGCCUGGGUCACUUAGUCAGUUAAGCAUCCACCUUUUGCUCAGGUCAUGAUUUCAGGGUUCAUGGGUUCCAGCUCCGCAUCAGGCUCUGCAGGGACAGCUCAGAGCCUGAAGACUGCUUCCGAUUCUGUGUCUCCCUCUCUCUCUCUGCCUCUUCCCUGCUUGUGCUCUCUGUCUCACACAAAUAAACAUCAAAAAAAAUUAAAAUGUAAAUAAUCAAAAUGAGACUUUUCUAGGACUAAGAGUAAGAUCCAUGGCAGCAGUAAAAACCAGCAACUUUUUAAAAGCAGUUCCACCUAACAAAUCCAUAAGAUCAACCAACCCAUAGUUGCACCUUCAUCGCUAAACAUUUCCACCUGGUGUCUGAGGAAAGCAGAAAUCCAACCCCACUGCCUUCACUCUUCUACCAGUUCCAAAGAGAAAAUAAAAUAGAUGGCUUGAACCAAUUAAAGGACAUCGUGAGUGGAACUGAAAGAAAUGUGUAGGAUGGAUGGAGAUCGCACCAGAAUGUUAACAGCCACAAGAAGACAAAAGGACGGAUGCCUUAUCCUGUGAAUAAACUGGCAGUGUUGAUCUACAGCUGUAUGCAGACCACAUCUUUCUUCCAAAGCUGCAAGGCGCACAUUUAAACUCAAAUCUCAGAGAUUGCAGCACCUAGAUUGCAGUACAAAUUGGUAUGACCAACCAGACCCAGCAACCAUCGAUCUUCAUUCUUUCUGCCACCCUGGAAACUGAAACCUUUUGUAGCAAGAGUUUGGAUGUGGAUAGGAAGAUUGUGUCCAGGAAGCCAAAACCAGAAGAUCAUCUGUUUAAUCCACUCCCAGUCACACAAGACUGCAUUUCUUUGGACUUUGGGGAAUACAAUAGAAGAGUAAAAUGAAGUCUAUGCCUAUAAUAAAUUUGAAAUCUUUGUGGGUCAAAGCUGUGGCAUGAGAAACAAAAUGAAUCCCAUGACAGUCCAUUUCCUCAGGUUAGUUUAUAAUCUGUAAAAUGGAAAUCAUGCAUACACAAUUGCCUUUGGAGACAUAGAGAAGAUUAAUGAGGCUAUGUUUAUGAAAAAUCUUUAAAUUAUAUAGAGCAAAGCAUUAUCUUCAGAAAAUGAACUAUUAUUAAUACAUAUUUUUAUACAUAAGCUUAGCAUAUGACUUUGUGGAAGAAAAUCCAUGACUUUUUAGCUCUCACUUUGAAACUUAUUAUUAUUUAAACAGUAGUGUAUGGUUUGAUAAUCUAAAUAUUGCUUAAGUUCUUUAACAAAAAAAGGAAGGACAAACAUUUUCCAAUGUAGUUCAAAUUUGUAGACCAUCCAUUCUACUGUUAUGAGACUGAAAAAAUUAAGAACCUCUAGUUCUUAAACUCUGUGGCAGUUGAACUUUUGAAAGAAAAAUAUAAAAGAUAUCAGGAAGAAAAUGUAGAACAACAUUGGACAAAAAAUUACAAGAGAACUAUUUUGGGGGGUCACUUUUUUUUCUCUUUAAACAAAAGAGAACUCUUAUAUCCAAUCUCAAGUGGAGAAAUUGUAAGGUUAAAAAACAUUGUUAAUAUGUGAGAAAUGGCAUUUAAUUAACAAAAACUAUAUUUUCAUUUUUUUAAGUUUAUUUAUUUAUUUUAAGAGAGAAAGAGAAAGCACGUGAGCCAAGGAGGGGCAGAGAGAAAGUGAGGAGGAGAAUCCCAAGCAGGUUCUGCGCUGUCAGCACAGAGCCCAGUACGGGGCUUGAACUCAUGAACCGAACCCUGAGAUCAUGAUGGGAGCCUAAACCAAGAGUUGGACUCUUAACCGGACACUUAGCCAACUGAGCCACCCAGGAUUCCCUCCUUUUUUUUUUUUUUAAUUUAACAAAGAAAUCAGUCUUCUCAGGAACAUUAAUUUUAUAAAGACUAUGCCUUUUUAUAAGUAGAUUUGUAAAAAGCUAUAAAGCAGUAAUUAUAUAAAAAAGAAAAAGCAUAUUUUCUAAAACUAUACUGCUACAUAAAGUACUAGGGAAAAACUCACUGAAGUAACUCUUACCAGUUUAAAAUAAUAGUAAUUAAAAUACAAGUAUUGGCUUCAGAGCUUACUAAAAUAUGUGGGUUUUGUUAAAAAAAUUGAUUUAACUACUCAUUCAAAAUAGAAAUUUCAUAUGUAGCCACUGAAAUUUACUUUUGUACAAUGGAUGAAAAAAUGCAAAAAUUAUAGAAUAAAUGCCCAGCUUUAGGAUUUUUUUUUUACAAAUUUAAAUUAGCUUUUGAGGGUAUUUUUUAAUACAUAUGUUAAUUUACCUCUCCUAAGGAGUUUUAUCAGAUUUUUUGCUUGGAAAAUAUUGCAAAUAAUUUUUCAUUUUGAUGCAUUUUCUUAAAAUAAAAUUUAAUAGUAAUACUUAAUAUUCUUAGAUAUUUUGGAAAUGGAGUCAUACUCAGAAUUCAUAUUUCUCCAAAUAUUUUGUAGUACUAUAUUUUUAUUUUUAUUAUUUUUUAUAGAACUUUGUAUUUCAUAAUAGAUAAUGAUGCAAUACAAUUCAAAUGAAAUAGGUUUCUGGUCAUUUGAAAUGGCAAAAAGGAAUUGUAAUGAAUGAAAAUGUGAUAGUUAAGUUUAUGUGUCAACUUGACUAGGCUAUGGUGGCCAAUUAUUUUUAGUCAAAGGUCACUCUACAUGUUGUUGUGAAGUCAUUAUUUAGACAUGAUUAAAAUUUAAAUCAAUAGACUUUGAAUAAAGUAGAUUACCAUCCAUUAUGUGGGUGGGCUUUAUGCAGUCAAUUGAAGGCCUUAAGAGAAAAAGCUGAGGUCCACUGAAGAAGAAGGAAUUCUGCAUGAAGAUCACCCUGGACUUGAGACCGAAACAUCAACUCUUAUCCAAAUUUUUGGCCUGCGGCCUGCCCUGCAAAUUUCCAACUUGCCAGCUCCCCAAAUCAUAUAAGUCAAUUCUUUAAACACACACACAUUUAUAUACACACACUCAUAUAUCCUACUGUUUCUAUUUGGAGAACCCUGACUAAUACAGAAAACACCCACCCAUACCCACCCCCAAAAACAAACAAGCAAGCACUAAAUUCUAUAGUAACCAUGGUAGCAUAAGAACAACAAACUUUAGAGGGAAUAAAGGAAACAGUGGAGAAAGGCACACAGCUGUUUUCCAUUCCUGAAUUUUGUUUUUAACUGGAGUAAAAGCUUUGAUAUAAUAUGCCUUGAAAUUUUACUUGAAAAAUUAAUUGGAUUUGGCUGGGAUGAAAAACAACCACAUUAUCAGUGCUAAAAACUGGCUUAAGACCAUAAUUCAAAGCAGAAAAAACCAUCACAAUAUACUCUUAAUGAGUUAGAUACAGAGAAUUAGAACAUUUAGAACAGAAAAGAGACUGAAAGUCAAUGGUAUUUUUGUAUGAGUAAAAUCUGAUAUUAGCUCUCAGGAAGGGAGGUAAUAAAUCCUUUCAACAUGAUUUCCGAAAUAAAUAGUUGGAAUCCUAGAAAUUUUUAUGUAAAAUGAAAGGUGGUGUUCUAAGCAGAAUGAAUAUGGACUGGUUUUAUGACUUGAAGGUUAUUGUAUUGAGAACAGCUUUGAUUAAAUAUUCUUUACUCUUCCACACUAAGGAGAAAUAUAAAAGUCUAUAGACAGCCCUUGACAAAAAGGAUGUUGAAACUAUAAGUUCUCUAGGUUUCUGCCAUGGCAUCUCAAUAUCAGUCUUUUUGUUCAUUCUUGAAGAUAACCACUCAAGAAUAAACUUAAAGAGUAUUCAGCUUCUAUAGCCAAUCAAAUAAAAUAAUUAAGUUCACCAAAUGCACUUUAUAACUGAAGAGAUACUGUGAAAAGGACGAUGGCCAAAUCAGUGAACAUUAGAAAAUGUGAUCAGACUACAAGUUAAGUAUUUUGUUUUUGUCAUAAGCAUAGACAUUUUUCAGAACUGUUCCUGGCUAUGAAUGCUUUGGAACAAGUAAGAAGGUGUAUGAGCUGAUAUUUAUGGACUUUUAAAAUUUUCGUUUCUUGUCAUUCCUGUGUUAGUUAUUUGCCUGUUUGGUUGCUAGUCUAUUUCUCCCAUUCUCUUGCUUUUCUGUGUAUCACAGAUUUUCAUGUCUAUUGACUUGUGGUUACAUUCAGCAAGUUUCAGGCAUUGCUGAGUGUGAAAAAAGAAUAAAUUAGGGCAUUUCCCCCACUCUUUCUCUGCCCAUAGUAGCUUUCUGAGCAGUGACUAUGUAUCUAUAUGGGGUUUUAUACCUGGUAGACAGACUGCCAGUGUUCCAUUGUUCCUGCUUCUGCCUGCCAAGCAGUAGAUUCUAAUGCCCCUUGGACAACCCUACCUUCUUGCUCUUCUUAUACUAUUCCCUCUCAUUAUCCCCUUUUGCCGUAGGAAUAGUUGGUGUCUUCCUGCUGUUGCUAGUAUUUGUCAUGUUUCAUGAUACUCAGUGUGGCUCUCAACUUUUUUUUUUUUUUUCCAUCACUUGUUUAAUCAACUCUCCAUGAUGGGUGCCUGGGUGGGUCAGUUGGGUAAGUGUUCAUCUUCAGCUCAGGUCACGAUCUCACGGUUCGUCAGUUCAAGCCCCGUCUGGGGCUCUGUGCUGACAGCUCAGAGCCUGGAGCCUGCUUUGAAUUCUGU
Molecule: long non-coding RNA, 7721 nt
Organism: Acinonyx jubatus (cheetah)
Lineage: Eukaryota; Metazoa; Chordata; Mammalia; Carnivora; Felidae
Exons: 5
Source: RefSeq, a predicted model, not a curated record